GACGAACGCUGGCGGCGUGCUUAACACAUGCAAGUCGAACGGAGAGGCCCUGCUUGCAGGGUACUCGAGUGGCGAACGGGUGAGUAACACGUGGGUGAUCUGCCCUGCACUUCGGGAUAAGCCUGGGAAACUGGGUCUAAUACCGGAUAGGAGCCAUUUUUAGUGUGAUGGUUGGAAAGUUUUUUCGGUGUAGGAUGAGCUCGCGGCCUAUCAGCUUGUUGGUGGGGUAAUGGCCUACCAAGGCGGCGACGGGUAGCCGGCCUGAGAGGGUGGACGGCCACAUUGGGACUGAGAUACGGCCCAGACUCCUACGGGAGGCAGCAGUGGGGAAUAUUGCACAAUGGGCGCAAGCCUGAUGCAGCGACGCCGCGUGGGGGAUGACGGCCUUCGGGUUGUAAACUCCUUUCGCUAGGGACGAAGCUUUUUGUGACGGUACCUAGAGAAGAAGCACCGGCUAACUACGUG
This 465-nucleotide ribosomal RNA is filed under the name uncultured bacterium. RNAcentral's name for it is "partial 16S ribosomal RNA". It matches the Rfam family "Bacterial small subunit ribosomal RNA", at positions 28 to 507 of the family's 1533-position model. The record is from RNAcentral.